UACGUAGGGUGCAAGCGUUAAUCGGAAUUACUGGGCGUAAAGCGUGCGCAGGCGGUUGUGCAAGACCGAUGUGAAAUCCCCGGGCUUAACCUGGGAAUGGCAUUGGUGACUGCACGGCUAGAGUGUGUCAGAGGGGGGUAGAAUUCCACGUGUAGCAGUGAAAUGCGUAGAGAUGUGGAGGAAUACCGAUGGCGAAGGCAGCCCCCUGGAUAACACUGACGCUCAUGCACGAAAGCGUGGGGAGCAAACAGG
Molecule: ribosomal RNA, 252 nt
Filed under: uncultured bacterium
Lineage: Bacteria
Description: partial 16S ribosomal RNA
Rfam family: Bacterial small subunit ribosomal RNA
Source: RNAcentral